UGGGGAAUAUUGCACAAUGGGCGCAAGCCUGAUGCAGCCAUGCCGCGUGUAUGAAGAAGGCCUUCGGGUUGUAAAGUACUUUCAGCGGGGAGGAAGGGAGUAAAGUUAAUACCUUUAUUCAUUGACGUUACCCGCAGAAGAAGCACCGGCUAACUCCGUGCCAGCAGCCGCGGUAAUACGGAGGGUGCAAGCGUUAAUCGGAAUUACUGGGCGUAAAGCGCACGCAGGCGGUUUGUUAAGUCAGAUGUGAAAUCCCCGGGCUCAACCUGGGAACUGCAUCUGAUACUGGCAGGCUUGAGUCUCGUAGAGGGGGGUAGAAUUCCAGGUGUAGCGGUGAAAUGCGUAGAGAUCUGGAGGAAUACCGGUGGCGAAGGCGGCCCCCUGGACGAAGACUGACGCUCAGGUGCGAAAGCGUGGGGAGCAAACAGG
RNAcentral lists this ribosomal RNA (429 nucleotides) under uncultured bacterium. RNAcentral describes it as "bacterial SSU rRNA". It matches the Rfam family "Bacterial small subunit ribosomal RNA", at positions 355 to 776 of the family's 1533-position model. The record is from RNAcentral.